Long non-coding RNA from Aegilops tauschii subsp. strangulata, 1228 nucleotides. RefSeq lists it as uncharacterized. Lineage: Eukaryota; Viridiplantae; Streptophyta; Magnoliopsida; Poales; Poaceae. The record is from RefSeq and is a predicted model, not a curated record.
CCCACCUUGCAUCUCAGGAACGAAAAUCUCCCCCGCGGCCCUCACUCCUGCGCCUCGACGCUUCCGCCCGCCGCCCCACGCCUCGGAUGGCUGGACGCCGCCGUCUGCACCUACACGUGUUUCUGCGCCCCCUGCCGCCGCCGCCGCCCUUCGCUCCCCCCUCCUCCCUUACCCUCCCACCUCCUCCCCACGUUUCUUCACCACGGCGUUGUGGCGCAGUACCGGGAAGACUUGGCUGCAGGUCGCGGCGCAACUACAUGGUGCUCAUCGGCGCGACGGCUUCGUCAUCAACAGCACGCUGUGGCGGGUCAUGCUCGGCACCACCACGCUCGUCGGCCGAUCCAAGGCAAGGCGGCGGCGUCAGCAUGAGGUGUAGGAUAUGAGGAUGCGUGGAAGGCCAACAUCCCAAACUUCAGGACUCUCUUUGUUCCAUCGAGGACACCAUCACAGAGAGGAAGAGAGGAGCUUACUGUAGGAUGCUAAGAUCUUUCUUCACUGCCAAAGAGAGGAGUGAGGUGCUCGUGCUUUUGUUCAUUGGCAGGACCACUGUUUCUUUCGUUUUUGUUUCUUAUAACCACAUCAGUGAAAUCCUCUUCAAUCUUAGCCUCCUUUGUUGCCAGCAACGUAGCCACGAUAUCCUGGCCGGUGAUGCUACCUGAAGAUCAUGCAAAAAAUUGUCAUGUUAGGGCAUUGUCGGCAUGGGAACACCGGACCAGUGUGUGUGACGACAGCGUCUGGCAGGUUUUGACCACAACCCACUUUACAGGUGGACAGGUAGGUCAACCACAUGACUGGGUGAUGUGGUGCACGAGUAGGCUAGGAGGAACAAGAAUAGGAAGGACUGUAGUUGAGAGAAGAUAAUGCCAUAUUGUCAUCUUGACUGAAGGUUGGGCACCUGACGAUGCUUGUCAAUCAGAACUCUGAAGGUAUAUUGUGUGAUGCUUGUCAACCAGAACUCUGUAGGUUUUAUGUCUUACACUUUUGACUUACAUACAUUACUGAAUUAAAGAGAUAGCAAUGUUCAGGAGAAGAUGCAGUGCUGCAAACAACUCAUCAUUCUCAUAGUAGCUAGCAAAUCAUUUUAUAUUAUAUGAGUUAUUCUACUCUUCAUCUGUAAUAUUACUAUUUUCGGAUAGUCGUAGUAUUUAUUUCUGUUCAGUUUUAAUAGAAUAUACUUUAGGUUUGCAUGGUGAGAUGUCUUCAACAAAGGAGAGAUGUACUGGUUGUA